GGGGGCGAUCAGGUCUCGACGGGGGUGAUUGGAGUUCGUGUUGCGUGACCGAGGGUGCUUGGAACCUCGUAAAUCCUUCAGGCGACCACAAUUGCGAACGAUAACAACUCGAUCGCGCUGGCUGCUUAGUUAGCCAGCCGUUCUGUCGGAAGUUUUUCGGUACUUCCGGCGGGGCGUCAGCGAACCGGAUAGCGAAACCCCGCAGGGCUGCUUGGCGGGGAGAGCGAAACAUCAGGAGUGGCUGACUCCGUGAGAGCCUGUCGGUGGGCGCGACCGGGGUGAGAUAAAUCAUCGACUAGGUUACGUAGACGCACGGAGGACAAGCUCUCGGACCCGGGUUCGAUUCCCGGCGCCUCCAC
This 359-nucleotide transfer-messenger RNA is filed under the name Deltaproteobacteria bacterium ADurb.Bin207. Its description in RNAcentral is "transfer-messenger RNA, SsrA". It matches the Rfam family "transfer-messenger RNA". Rfam says of the family: Bacterial tmRNA, also known as 10Sa RNA or SsrA, is named for its dual tRNA and mRNA-like properties. The record is from RNAcentral. Lineage: Bacteria; Deltaproteobacteria.